UGAGGAAUAUUGGUCAAUGGGCGAGAGCCUGAACCAGCCAAGUAGCGUGCAGGAUGACGGCCCUAUGGGUUGUAAACUGCUUUUAUGUGGGGAUAAAGUGCGUGACGUGUCAUGCAUUGCAGGUACCACAUGAAUAAGGACCGGCUAAUUCCGUGCCAGCAGCCGCGGUAAUACGGAAGGUCCGGGCGUUAUCCGGAUUUAUUGGGUUUAAAGGGAGCGUAUGCUGUCUAUUAAGCGUGUUGUGAAAUUUACCGGCUCAACCGGUGGCUUGCAGCGCGAACUGGUCGACUAGAGUAUGCAGGAAGUAGGCGGAAUUCAUGGUGUAGCGGUGAAAUGCUUAGAUAUCAUGACGAACUCCGAUUGCGCAGGCAGCUUACUGUAGCAUAACUGACGCUGAUGCUCGAAAGUGCGGGUAUCAAACAGG
RNAcentral lists this ribosomal RNA (424 nucleotides) under Fusobacteriota bacterium. Its description in RNAcentral is "Fusobacteria bacterium partial 16S ribosomal RNA". It matches the Rfam family "Bacterial small subunit ribosomal RNA", at positions 355 to 776 of the family's 1533-position model. The record is from RNAcentral. Lineage: Bacteria; Fusobacteriati; Fusobacteriota.